RNAcentral lists this long non-coding RNA (2452 nucleotides) under Stegodyphus dumicola. RNAcentral's name for it is "uncharacterized LOC118191299". Lineage: Eukaryota; Metazoa; Arthropoda; Arachnida; Araneae; Eresidae. The record is from RNAcentral.
GACGUGGAGUAAUAUGAACACGCCUAUGUGACUCUGAAUGUGUUCGAUGUUUAAAUGACUCUAAACAUGCACUAUUUUAGAAAUAUUGAGCAGACGAAAAUAAUGUAGUUUAGAAAUGCUUUCAUUGUUAAGUGCAUGUUUACUUCCAGAAAUGUUUCUAUUAUGAUAUUGCUUUUAUCUCCACUUUAAUGAUUCUUUGUAAUUCUUUUCUGGUGCCUGUCCUUUUCGUAAUUUAUGAACAUUUUGUGCAUCUUGGAAGAGUGUUCAUUUGUCGUUUCAUCAAUGCCGAGAGUGUAAUUUCAAAAUUUAUUCCAUAAAAUUAAUGUGAUUUCUUAAAGCAUUUAUCUACGUGCCGUUAGAAUAAGAAAGAAUUAAAGAUCUUUCAUGCUUUCAAUAAAUGGCUUCUGAAAAUUGUAAUGUUUUCUGCAGUUGCUCUUCUCCUCGUAUUAUAACGCGUGGGUUGGCAACACUUUUCAUUUUGAAGAAAAUUGAAUUUUCAGUUUCCUUUUCAGGUGAAAAUAGUAAAACCUCUUACAUAUACUAGUAAAGAGUGCAAAUGCAAAAAUCAAGACUUCAAAUUGCAUUUAAAUUUGCAAUGCAUUCACAUGUCAUAAAACUUACAGACAUGGUGUUUAUUCACCUGUCACCAUUUCCUCUGAAUUUUAAAGAAUGAGUGCAUUUCAUUAUAUAUGCAAGUUUUGUCAUUUCUUUAAUUAUUGUGAUAUCAGACAUGACAGAUAUUAAUGCUUUUUUCAUUUUAUCAUGAGGACGGUGAAAAUAGCUUUUUUUAAAUCCCCGAUUUGUCAUUUAAAUUCAAGAAAUUCACAGAACAAAGUAAAGCCUUUCUAAGAUGAUCAUUAACAUUUCCAAAUGGCUUGUUUUUUCCUAGAGACUUGUUUUAAAAGAAAUGAUAUUCAAUAUCAGUGUUUUAUGUAUGUCUUCUGAAGGACUGUCAUUUUCAGAGGUGGUCAUCUUAAAGAGAUUAUCACACAAGAAAGUUGAUUAAUAUGAAUGCGAUACUUUUCAAUUUACCUAUUCUACUUUUUUUCUCUGUGGUAGAAAUUUUAUAAUAAUUGAUGCUGAUUAGCUCGGAAUACAUAAAUAAGACUAUAAUAAAAAUAUUACCAAUGUAAUGCUUUCUUUCUAUAAAAAUAAGACAGCUUUGGUUAUUAAUAAUUGCAUCCUGGAGUUUAUAAUCCUAUCGAAAAGUGAAUCAGCGUAUUCAGAUAUUGCAGUUGAAAUUCAUUAAGUCUUCAGAAGGCACUGAACAUCAUUUGAGAAUUAACAGAAAAUAUUAAUUCAUUACAGUGCUCAACAUUGCAAAAGUAAAUGGUAAUAUUUUCUUCAAAAUGAUCAGCGAAAUGCAUGUUUUUACACUCUGUUUUCUGCAUGGUAUUCAUAGCUUAAGACACAUCAUAGGGCUGAAAGAGGCCAGUUGGUCAAACAGGUGAAUAGGCCAGCAUAUCAGUCGAAGCAAUAUCGUUGCUGUUUGAACCAAAGGCUCAGCAAAGCAAUAGUCACGCUUCCAGUCAGCGAUGCGUAGUCACUCGGUAAGCUCCCGGUAACCAAUGCAUGAAACGAUCGCACAAUUAGAAGAGCUGCCACAUCUGCACCAACAAAAGAUACACUAUCAUUGAUUCAGUGCCAUUUACCAACUCUCAGGGAUCCCGGGUUAUCCAGGGAUACAAUUUUCAGAAGACUAAAGGAUUUUGGGUUCAGAUCUUGAUGUCUAUUAAGAAGCUUGCUAUUGACACUCCACCGUGAGCAGUGUCACCUAGCAUGGUGCUGCUCUUGUUCAAGCUGCACUGUGUCCAGUUGGAGAAAUGUUAUCUUGAGCGAUGAAUCACACUUUUCUGUCAAAUCUGAUGACUGCUGCAUAUGUGUCUGGAGAAGCAGAGGUGAGAAGUCCAAUGUGCCAUUUGUUACUGACAUAUGAUAGACAGAACGCAGUAUGUGACAGUCUGGAUAGUAAUCAGCUGGGACAGCCAUUCAACAUUAGUUGUGCUCCAAGGUACUCUGACUGCUCGCAGGUACAAUGAUAUCUUGCAGCUGAUUGUACUCUGUGCUGCUAGCAGGUCAUCCAGGUCCAUUUUUCAGCAGGACAAUGCUCAACCAUAUACAGCACGACUUUCCCAAUAAUGUUUUCAAUCUGUUAAUGUGCUCGACUGGUCCGCCAGGCUUCAAGCCAUCAAAGGUGUUUGGGACAUGUUGGAUGGGAAUGUUCAGCUGUGUACAAAUAUGUCCCAACUCACUGACCAGUUGCUCCGAUUAUGGCACAAUCUAUCACAAAAGGGCAUUGGCAACUUAACAUAUGCCAAACCCAGCUGAAUAUGUGCUUGUAUAGCUGCCAUGGGUGCUUUACCACCUACUGAUUUUCACAUUCUUUGUAUUGCCGUGGAUUUUCAAAUUCUUUGUAUUACUAUGCUUAAAUAAAACUAUUUUUUUAACAUUA